RNAcentral lists this unclassified non-coding RNA (342 nucleotides) under soil metagenome. Its description in RNAcentral is "partial contains 5.8S ribosomal RNA, internal transcribed spacer 2, and large subunit ribosomal RNA". The stretch from base 1 to 120 matches the Rfam family "5.8S ribosomal RNA", at positions 35 to 154 of the family's 154-position model. The record is from RNAcentral.
GAUGAAGAACGCAGCGAAACGCGAUAUGUAAUGUGAAUUGCAGAAUUCAGUGAAUCAUCGAAUCUUUGAACGCACAUUGCGCCCGCCAGCACUCUGGCGGGCAUGCCUGUUCGAGCGUCAUUUCAACCAUCAAGCCCCCAGGGGCUUGUGCUGGGGCCCUGCGGCUGCCCGCAGGCCCUGAAAACCAGUGGCGGGCUCGCUAGUCACACCGAGCGCAGUAGCACAUCUCGCUCAGGGCGUGCGGCGGGCUCCUGCCGUGAAACCCCCCACUGUAACCCCAAAGGUUGACCUCGGAUCAGGUAGGAAUACCCGCUGAACUUAAGCAUAUCAAUAAGCGGAGGA